RNAcentral lists this ribosomal RNA (450 nucleotides) under uncultured bacterium. RNAcentral describes it as "partial 16S ribosomal RNA". It matches the Rfam family "Bacterial small subunit ribosomal RNA", at positions 354 to 796 of the family's 1533-position model. The record is from RNAcentral.
GUGGGGAAUCUUCCGCAAUGGACGAAAGUCUGACGGAGCAACGCCGCGUGAGUGAAGAAGGUUUUCGGAUCGUAAAGCUCUUUCGUUAGGGACGAACGUGCUCUUUGUGAAUAAUGAGGAGUAAUGACGGUACCUAAAUAAGAAGCCACGACUAACUACGUGCCAGCAGCCGCGGUAAUACGUAGGUGGCAAGCGUUGUCCGGAAUUAUUGGGCGUAAAGCGCGCGCAGGCGGGAUAUCAAGUCUGUCUUAAAAGUGCGAGGCUCAACCUCGUGAGGGGACAGAAACUGGUAUUCUUGAGUGUCGGAGAGGAAAGUGGAAUUCCAAGUGUAGCGGUGAAAUGCGUAGAGAUUUGGAAGAACACCAGUGGCGAAGGCGACUUUCUGGACGAUGUCUGACGCUGAGGCGCGAAAGCUAGGGGAGCGAACGGGAUUAGAAACCCGGGUAGUCC